RNAcentral lists this ribosomal RNA (529 nucleotides) under uncultured bacterium. RNAcentral's name for it is "bacterial SSU rRNA". It matches the Rfam family "Bacterial small subunit ribosomal RNA", at positions 777 to 1304 of the family's 1533-position model. The record is from RNAcentral.
AAUAGAUACCCCGGUAGUCCACGCCGUAAACGUUGGGCGCUAGAUGUGGGGACCAUUCCACGGUUUCCGUGUCGCAGCUAACGCAUUAAGCGCCCCGCCUGGGGAGUACGGCCGCAAGGCUAAAACUCAAAGGAAUUGACGGGGGCCCGCACAAGCGGCGGAGCAUGCGGAUUAAUUCGAUGCAACGCGAAGAACCUUACCAAGGCUUGACAUAUACCUGAAAAGGCUGGAAACAGUCUCCCCGCAAGGCAGUACACGGAGUAGGGUGCAUGGUUGUCGUCAGCUCGUGUCGUGAGAUGUUGGGUUAAGUCCCGCAACGAGCGCAACCCUCGUUCUAUGUUGCCAGCGCGUAAUGGCGGGAACUCAUAGGAGACUGCCGGGGUCAACUCGGAGGAAGGUGGGGAUGACGUCAAAUCAUCAUGCCCCUUAUGUCUUGGGCUUCACGCAUGCUACAAUGGCCGGUACAAAGGGCUGCAAUACCGCAAGGUGGAGCGAAUCCCAAAAAGCCGGUCUCAGUUCGGAUUGAGGU